CAGCAGCCGCGGGAAUACGUAGGGUGCGAGCGUUAAUCGGAUUUACUGGGCGUAAAGCGUGCGCAGGCGGCCCGUUAAGACAGGUGUGAAAUCCCUGGGCUCAACCUAGGAAUUGCGCUUGUGACUGGCGGGCUCGAGUACGGUAGAGGGGGGUGGAAUUCCUGGUGUAGCAGUGAAAUGCGUAGAGAUCAGGAGGAACACCGAUGGCGAAGGCAGCCCCCUGGGCCUGUACUGACGCUCAUGCACGAAAGCGUGGGGAGUAAACAGGAUUAGAUACCCCCGUAGUCCCUGUCUCUUAUAC
RNAcentral lists this ribosomal RNA (301 nucleotides) under uncultured bacterium. Its description in RNAcentral is "partial 16S ribosomal RNA". It matches the Rfam family "Bacterial small subunit ribosomal RNA", at positions 509 to 807 of the family's 1533-position model. The record is from RNAcentral.